Molecule: ribosomal RNA, 253 nt
Filed under: uncultured bacterium
Lineage: Bacteria
Description: partial 16S ribosomal RNA
Rfam family: Bacterial small subunit ribosomal RNA
Source: RNAcentral
UACGGAGGGGGCGAGCGUUAUUCGGAAUUAUUGGGCGUAAAGGGCGCGUAGGCGGCCUAGCAAGUCAAAGGUGAAAUCCCUCGGCUCAACUGAGGAACUGCCUUUGAAACUGCGAGGCUUGAGGCCGGGAGGGGGUAGCGGAAUUCCCAGUGCAGCGGUGAAAUGCGUAGAUAUUGGGAGGAACACCAGUGGCGAAGGCGGCUACCUGGACCGGUUCUGACGCUGAUGCGCGAAAGCGUGGGUAGCAAACAGG